Molecule: ribosomal RNA, 482 nt
Filed under: uncultured Bacteroidota bacterium
Lineage: Bacteria; Pseudomonadati; Bacteroidota
Description: bacterial SSU rRNA
Rfam family: Bacterial small subunit ribosomal RNA
Source: RNAcentral
GAUGAACGCUAGCGGCAGGCUUAAUACAUGCAAGUCGAGGGGCAGCAUUGGACUUCGGUCCAGAUGGCGACCGGCGCACGGGUGAGUAACGCGUACAUAACCUGCCCCGUACAGGGGGAUAAGCAUUGGAAACGAUGUCUAAUACCCCAUGGUAACCUCGAGUGGCAUCACUUGGGGUUUAAAGUUCCGGCGGUACGGGAUGGAUGUGCGUUGGAUUAGUUAGUUGGCGGGGUAACGGCCCACCAAGACGAUGAUCCAUAGGGGGCGUGAGAGCGUGGUCCCCCACACGGGUACUGAGACACGGACCCGACUCCUACGGGAGGCAGCAGUAAGGAAUAUUGGGCAAUGGAUGAGAGUCUGACCCAGCCAUGCCGCGUGCGGGAUGAAGGCCCUACGGGUCGUAAACCGCUUUUACGAAGGAAGAAAAAGUCCCGCUUGCGGGAUCGUGACGGUACUUCGUGAAUAAGGACCGGCUAACUCCG